UGAGGAAUAUUGGUCAAUGGGCUUACGCCUGAACCAGCCAAGUCGCGUGAGGGAAGACUGCCCUAUGGGUUGUAAACCUCUUUUUGUCAGGGAGCAACGCCGGCUACGUGUAGCCGGACUGAGAGUACCUGAAGAAAAAGCAUCGGCUAACUCCGUGCC
Molecule: ribosomal RNA, 159 nt
Filed under: uncultured bacterium
Lineage: Bacteria
Description: partial 16S ribosomal RNA
Rfam family: Bacterial small subunit ribosomal RNA
Source: RNAcentral